Molecule: long non-coding RNA, 5824 nt
Filed under: Sus scrofa (pig)
Lineage: Eukaryota; Metazoa; Chordata; Mammalia; Artiodactyla; Suidae
Description: lncRNA (ENSSSCG00000062772.1)
Source: RNAcentral
AACUUAGUCAAAAUUGAAAAAAAAAAAAAAAGACACAGCCUGGAAGAAGAUAUUUGCCAUGCACAUCAUCAAUUAAGAAUUAUCAUCCAGAAUGUAUAAAAAUUUCCUACAAAUGAUAAGAUGACAAACUACCCAAUAGAAAAAUGUAUACAGAGAAAACCAAAAUGCAUGACCAAUAAUCAAGAGUGGUGCCCACCCUCGCUAGAAACCAGAGAGAUAUAAAUUAAUAUAAUAGGAAUAUGUCAUCUCAUACUCUCAUGCAUGGCAGGUGGAAGGGCAAAUUGCUGCCAACACUGUGAGACGAGGCAACAUCCUCCAAAACUGAAGACACAGACACCCCCCAAGACUCAGCAAUUCCACAUCUAGGAAUGUGCACAAGGAGACACAGGAGCUGUGUAACUUGCAGUGUAAUCAGAAAAGGGAAAACUACAGAGCAGUUACCCUUAAUGAGUUGUCUGCAGAUAUCAACCUGCAUGAAUCUCCUAGACAUCCUGGUGAGGAGAAGAGACGUCUGUGGCAAGAAGACGUGCAUGUGUCUGUAUAGAACAGUGGCCAUGAGGGUUGGUUCAAGCCCCAGCCUGAGCUCUUCUGGCCAUGGGUCUUUGUCUAAGUCAUCUUAACCUCUCUGUUCCUCGGGUCCUCGCUGGGGAUAACAAGGCCUGGGUUGUGGUGAACGUAUUACCGCAUGGACACACCAGGCAAAUUCUAGCUACUUUGGAGACACACAUAUACGAUACCUUAGAAGCUGUGGUCACCUCUGUAAAUGGAGGGUGGGGAAUGGGAUUGGGUUCAAGGUUCAAGUGCACUUGAAAGAUUUUAUUUCUUUAAAAAAAAAAAGAAAGAUAAAUGGAAGAUGGCGGAGGAGAAGCACUGGAUCUCACCUUCUCCCAUAAAAACAACAAACUUAAAACCAACUGCUGAACAACCUUCAACCAAAUACACUGCAGACUAUCAAAAAAGAUAUCCUGCUCCAGAAGACAAAGAGGAGGCCACUUGAAGAUGGUAGGAGGGGCGAUUAGGUGGUAUAAGCAAGCCCAUACCUGCGGGGUGGGCAUCCCACAGACAGGAAAGUAACUGUGUCACAGAGAGAGAUAGUAUGCCAGAGCAUCCUUUGAGACAGUGUAAGAAUUUUGUAAUCAUCACAGUGGUGGUUAUAUGAAUCUGGACCUGUGAUGAAACUGCACAGAACCUCUCGUGCCACACAUGCACAACACAAAUGAGUACAGAUACAAACUGGUGAAAUCAGAGGAAAGUCUGUUAAGAAUAUCGUGUCAAUCCUGCUGUGUAGCACUGGGAGCUAUGUCUGGUCACUUAUGAUGGAGCAUGAUAAUGUGAGAAAAAAGAAUGUAUACUUGUAUGUGUAACUGGGUCGCCAUGCUGUGCAGUAGAAAAUUGACGGAACACUGUAAACUAGCUAUAAUGAAAAAUAUAAAAGUCAUUAUAUAAAAAAAGAACUAUGAAAAAAAUAAUAAUAUCAUGUCAAUAUUUUGGGGUUCUGUUUUCAUUUAUGGUUUUGAUGUUGCAUUAUAGUGAUGUAAGCUGUUACUGUUGGGGGGAGCUAGAUAGAGGGCACCCAGGAAGUUCAGCCUGAAGAAUGCAUAUUAGGAAGCACUCCUGGGACCACAGCUGUGGAAGCCAGGGAAGGAAGAAAGACUAGGGGGGGAGUUGGGGUCUGACACCAUCGAGAGGAAACCUCAGCUGACCCCAGGGAGCUCCGGAGGGAAACGGCCCGUGAGAGCCGUCAUCUCGGGCACUGAGCGCUGGCCUUCUGUGCUGCCCCCGCUAGUCCUGGGUGUGUAGCAGGGAGGGUGGGGCUUACUCUGUGAGAGUCCGAUCUUGGAGGGGUGCAGGUAGGGGCCACUGUGAUGCACCACCCGGGUCCCCCAUCCCUGGGAGAACUUGCCAUCCCAGCUUCCUAAUACCUGCCCUUCAUGCUGCACUUCCUCCCAGUCUGUUCCCAAGGCACCUGCAGGAGGAGGGGCCCCAGCACCCCAGAGUGGAGGCCCAAGGGUUCCCUGAGAGGAUGUGAAGAGGCCAGGACUCCCAGCCCACCACCCCCACCCUACCACCCCACCCUCCUCCAACCCAACCCCACACCCCACCAGUGCCCUCCUGGGCAGGAAUUCUGUGGACUGGGAAAGCCCGUGGUGAGAAACUGGGAAUCUGCAGCCCUGGGAGACAGCAGCCCAGGUAGGGAGUCGGCCCAGGCCAGGCCCACAGCUUGUCUCUUGCUUUUAGCCCAGGUGCCUCUGUGACAAAAUCAAUUACGUAAAACGGUCUCACUUCCCACCUGCUCUGUACUACAGAAUGUUAUCCAUGGGAUGAAUCUAGUUUUCUCUCUCUCUCUCUCUUUUUUUUUUUUUUUUGCUAUUUCUUGGGCCGCUCCCGCAGCAUAUGGAGGUUCCCAAGCUAGGGAUCAAAUCGGAGCUGUAGCCGCCGGCCUACGCCAGAGCCACAGCAAUGCAGGAUCCGAGCCGUGUCUGCAACCUACACCACAGCUCAUGGCAACGCAGGAUCGUUAACCCACUAAGCAAGGGCAGGGAUCGAACCCACAACCUCAUGGUUCCUAGUCGGAUUCGUUAACCACUGCACCAUGAAGGGAACUCCUAGUUUUCUCUUUCCAUGUCCCUAACUCCUUUCUCCAAAAGGGAGAACCCUGGCGCUCAUCAUGCCCCUGUUUGAAACCAGUCGUCGUUUGCAGCCUGAGCCGCCUGCCUCCACACUUCCUGACAAGAGCACCCACCUCACCCUCAGCCUCCCUCUGUGGCUGCCCUCUACCCCGCUGGGGUAAUUUGUUCCCAGCUUGAGGGAGCACUUAAUGACUGUUUAUUGGAUGAAUGAAUAAAUAAAUGAAUGAAUAAAUGUUAGUUAUCCUCAACCCCAGCAUAGUGCCCGUGGCAGUUUAUAAUACUUCUGUUAUUAUUAAAUGAACAAAUAGAGUGUGAAGAACAGGAGACCCCAGGAACUCGUAAUUUACCACGAAUCAAGUAUGAAGUUUAUCUUACAUGCAUGUGCCAACGGUUUUUCCUGAACCAUUUGAAAGUGUCAGCAAGAUUAGGAAUGGCAUGUCUAUUCUACUAAUAUUCAAAAAUUAAUAAAUUCGCUGCCCCAGAGUUGACUUUAGUGAUGAUAUAAAACUAGGAGGAAAAGACUCUUGUGGGGUCCUAGAGGUACGAGAAGAAGGUCAAGGUCAAAAGUGGACCUCCUGGCUCUGCCGCUCCGAAGGUGCUCUCCUAGGGCGGGUGGCCAUAGUUAUAACAAUGCCAUGGUAACCAAGGCAAAGGAAGUGAGGGGAGGAGGUGAGGGGAGAUGAGGGAGGUGAGGGAGAUGAGGUGAGAUGAGGGAGGGGAGGGGGGAGGGGAGGGGGGAGGGGAGGGGGGGAGGUAUGAAGUGAGGUGAAGUAAAGAAAGAAGGUGAGGUGAGAUAGGUAAGGGAGGUGAGGUGAGGGGAAGUGAGGGAGGUGAGGCAGGUAUGAGGAGGACACAAGGAUGGAGCCCCCACCACGAUCCAUCCUCAGAGCAGGGGCAUGCCUGGGGACACUUCCCCACAGGAACCAGGGCAUCGGCCCCCUUUAUCACCUCAACAGGGUUCCAUUUUCAAGACCUGAAGGAGGCACAUACUGUAAAUAUUCUUAGAUUUACUCUCCAUCCUACAGUUUCCACUGAAUAUCAUAUACCUUUUAUUCUUACAUAUUUUUUUCACCUAAAAUGUCAAGUAGCUCUUUUCUAGAAGUGCUGAACAGAGAUAAAGGGGAUUAAAUGUUGACUUUAUCCCAUUUAAAGGUAACCUGCAGCUAAUGGGAGUAAAGAGACCCACUUGGCAGCCACACCCCAUCCCCCUUCUCCCUCCAGGCUUCUGCCCUCUGCCCCCCAAUCCCCACCUUCUCAAAGGCACCCAGGGGGCUCCAGACUCUGGGAAGAUUCAUGUGUCCACAGGGGUCCUUGCCAAGGCCUGCCUUCCAGAAAUUCGGUUCCCACAUUCGCCUGGUGUGUAGCAAAUUGUCAGUUAAAAGGCUUUGCUUGUCUGGAAAAAUAAAGAAAAUGAAAGCCCUGAAGGCUUGAUCUGCAAUAUUAGCUGAAGCUGCCUUGUGGCAACAUCGAAGAAAGCCUCUGUGCUUCCCAGGCCACAGGCUUUUUGGUGCCACCUGAGAGGAUACCGGGCUCUGAACAGGCCAGCAGGGGUCAGUUAAAAGCAGAGAGAGUGGAUGAGUUGGCUUCUGAUGCAGAGCAGCCCCAACCCUUACAUAAUCAAAGGUAAACCUCAUCCUGGAGGCGCCAGUCAGGGCUGGGGAGGGAUGGGGCCUCUGGGGAUCUUUGUUACUUGGGCUUAGGCUUCUGUAGGUUUUAUAGGUCAAAAAUAAUCAAAUAUCAAUUAUUUUGUUUGUUUGUUUGUUUACAGGUCAGAAAUUGUCAAAUAUCAAUUUUUUUCCCCCUGUCUUUUUAGGGCUGCACCCAAAGCACCUGGAGGUUCCCAGGCUAGGAGUCGAAUCGGAGCUGUAGCCUCCAGCCCAUGCCACAGCCACAGCAACAGGGAAUCCGAGCGGUGUCUGAGACCUACACAGCUCAAGGCAAUGCCAAAUCCUUAACCCACUGAGCAAGGCCAGGGAUUGAACCCGCGUCCUCUUGGAUACUAGCUGGGGUAGUUAACUGCUGAGCCACGACAGAAACUCCAAAUACCAAUUAUUUCAUUUUUUAGGCCCUAAUGAAUACUUUGUUUUAACUCCUAGGAACCCUGUGAGAUAGCCAUGAUCCCUAUUUUAUGGAAAACAGAGGUUCAGAGAAGGUAAGUAAUUUGCCCAAAGUCACACAGGAAGUGGCAGAAUCAGAAUUUGAAUAUGGAGAUUCAGAUGCUUAAUCUAGGCCCUUUCUGCUGUGCCCAUUUUCUCUCCUCCUGUCUUAAAUCCACUCUGUACCCUGUUCCCCCAUCUAGCCAUGCUUAUUCUUACCUGCUUCCUCUGCUCAGAUGACACCUUCCUCCUGAACUCCUGUGCUCGUGCUCUCGUUUAUUUAAGAGGUAUAUAUUGACAAACUAUGUGUCAGGUUUGUGUUAAAGCUGAAAAUAAUUUUGGAGUUCCCUGGUGGCUCAGUUCACCAGAUCCGUGACUCGCUGAGCAAGGCCAGCGAUCGAACCCAUAACCUCAUGGUUCCUAGCUGGAUUGGUUUCUACUGCACCAUGACGGGAACUCCCCUUUUGCUGCACAUUUAAAGAAAAUUUCAUGAAGUCCAAUUUGUCCAUUCUUUUCUUUUGUUGCCUGUGCCUUUGAUGUAAUAGCCAAGAAAUCAUUGCCAAAUCCAAUGUCAUGACACUUUUGACUCAUGUUUUCUUCUUAGUUAUAUAGUUUUAGGUUUUACACUUAGGUUUUUGAUCCAUUUUGAGUUAAUUUUUGUAUAUGGCAUUAGGUAAGGGCCUAACUUCAUUCUUUUUUUUACAUGUGGAUGUCCAGUUUCCCUGAUAUAAUUUGUUGAAAGGACUGUUCUUUCCCCAUUGAAUAAUCUUAGCAUCCUGGUCCAAAAUUACUUGACCAUAUACACAAGGGUUUAUUUCUGGCUCUCUUUGGUUCUUUUUAUCUACAUGUCUGUCUUUGUGCCAGUACCAAACUGUUUUGAUUACUGUAACUUUGUUGUAAAUUUUGAAAUCAGGAAGUGGGUAUCCUCCAGCUUUGUUAUUCUUUUUCAAAAUUGUUUUGGCUCUUCAGAGUUCCUUGAGACUCCAUAUGAAUUUUAGAAUAGGUUUUUCUAUUUCUGCAAAGAAAAUAGCAUUGGUGUAAGGAUAACCUGACCCCCUUGCUGUACAGUGGGAAAAUAAAAAAAAUAAAAAAAAAAAA